This is a long non-coding RNA of Cylas formicarius (sweet potato weevil), 3373 nucleotides long. RefSeq lists it as uncharacterized. The transcript is spliced from 3 exons. The record is from RefSeq and is a predicted model, not a curated record. NCBI's taxonomy places the organism in Eukaryota, Metazoa, Arthropoda, Insecta, Coleoptera, Brentidae.
GUUAACUUUUAGAAAGUAUUCUCGCACCGUAUAAAUACAUCUCAUUUUUCUCUGUUUUGUCAGUAGUUGUUUUUGGUAUUAUUCGUGCAACGUGGAAGCUAACUUAGUGGUUUGGUGUUCGUACAAAAAAGCAGUCCUAAAGAUCAUCUUAGUACUCUCAACCCGUAACCGCAAAUAGAAUAGCAGCCAAUCUUAAGCAUGGACUUAAGUCAACUGAAUCAAACCUGUCUUGCAGAAGGUGAUUUUGAGCAGCCGAUUGUCAAACUGCAUGAAUUGCCGAUAGGCGUUCCGUUUAAAAUUACUAGAGCCAAAAUUGUUAAUACAAAAUUUGGCAAUUCCGUGUUGCUGCAAUUAGAAAAUUCCGUAGUAUUUCUUCCUACUCGCGUGACAGAAGCUUUCCGUCCGAGACUAGAACACUUUGCGUCGGGGCAGUACAAACUGGUCUACGAGGGAUCCAAAGAUAUUGGAAAGCCCAACUCUUUAAAGAAAUUCAAAAUAAUUCAAAAUUAAUCAACAUAUUAUACAGGGUAAGUCUUAUUUACUGUUAUAUAUUUAAUAAACCACGAUGCGCGUAAAGCAGAUCAUUCAUAGAGCGCAAAUCUUAAUUUUAACCUUACAAAAAUUAAAAAAGCAUAUUUCCGACAAGUUCACUCUUAGAGAUAGUGAUGUGUGGCUUAGGAGACUAAGUAAAAAUAUUGAAUCUUGCAACCAAAUCGUUUCUAACGAAAAGGAUUUAUCUAUUGGGUUAAAAAGAAAAUUACAAACUACAAUUCAACAUCUGAAAGCUAUUAGAAAAAUUAUUCUUAAUUAUCAACAUAAGCAUUUUGGAUUGGGAUUACAAAGUAGUAGCCGCGAGACAAACACAAAUGAAAUGGUUGUAUGGGAAUCGGUAGCGUCGUGUUUCCAGGGAAGAGUUCAGACUGGUGUCAUAAUUAAUUUACUUCAUAAAGAUUUAAUUCAAUUUUUAAACGAUUCUCGUCCAAUAUUUCAACAAAAAAUUAGUCAAAUUUUAAAGAAAUUUUUAUUGCUGAAAGUAAAUACCACAUUUUGCGGUGAAUUUAUUAAGGCAAAAAAUGAUGUCCAAGGCGAAGUUGAUGUUAAAUAUCUGAGUACCGGAAAUGCUGUAGUUGAUUUAGGAACAGAAUUGAAUGAUUGGUUUGUUGAAAAUGUGCAAGAUAAAAUUUUAAAUCAAAUGUCAGAGUUUCAGGAACGUGAUUCCGGGUGGGCUUUAAAUAAUAUUAUUUAUUUAGAGAUUAACAUUAAUAAAUUUGAAAUGGGUAACGGAUCAUCCUUCGUUGUGCGACAUUGACCAAAUUAUGAUUAUCGAGCGGGCUAUACGAGGUGGAAUUUCGGUGUGUGUUGGUAGAUAUGCGGAGGCCAACAAUAAAUAUAUGCCCAACUACGAUUCAUCCAGGGAUGAUUCCUAUAUCAUGUACUUUGACGUCAAUAACCUCUAUGGCAAGGCCAUGUGCGAGCCUCUUCCUUACGGAGGAUUCGACUGGAUGUCUCAUCAAGAGAUUGAUUCAUUUACUGUCAUGAACAUUCCAGAUGAAUCUUCCCAAGGAUAUAUCCUAGAGGUAGACCUGGAAUACCCGCAGAAAUUACAUGACACACAUAGAGAUUUUCCAUUUUGUGCCGAACAUCGAGUGCCCCCCAAUUCAAAGUUACCAAAACUAAUGACUACUUUGUAUAAUAAAGAAAAUACGUCAUACACUAUCGCAAUUUAAAACAGGCUCUCAAAAACGGUCUCGUACUAAAGAAAAUUCACAAAAUAUUAAAAUUUAACCAAUCUCGUUGGUUGAAAUGUUAUAUCGAUCAUAAUAAUAAAUUAAGAACCCAAGCAAAGACAAAAUUUGGUAUAAAUUUAUACAAAUUGUUUAAUAAUGCCGCUUACGGUAAAACAAUGGAAAACAUUCGCAAGCAUCGUAUUGUUAAAUUUGUUAAAGCGUGGGAUGGUCGCUACGGUGCGAAAAAUUUAAUUUCUAGUCCUAGAUUUCACAGUAGAACCAUACUUGAUAACAAUUUGUUGCUUAUAGAAUUAAAAAAAUCGGAACUUUGCUUUAAUAAGCCACUUUAUAUUGGAAUGUCCAUAUUGGAUUUGUCGAAAACGACCAUGUACGAGUUUCAUUAUAAUUACAUGCUUCCAAAUUUGGGUCCCGAAAAAUGUAAAAUUCAAUACAUGGAUACGGACAGUUUCAUUUAUAAUAUCAAAUGUUAUGACGCAUAUGAAAGCGUUAUUAAGGCCGAUUUAACAAAAAUUUGACACGUCUGAUUAUCCUAAUGACAAUCCCUAUAAUAUACCGCAAAUCAACAAAAAGGUUUUGGGGUUGAUGAAGGAUGAGACUAAUGGCACCAUCAUUAGUCAUUAUGCGGGGUUAAGGUCGAAAAUGUAUACUUUCAAAAUUUUAACGGGUUCGGUAGUUAAAAAGUCAAAGGGUAUUCAGUACAAUAUUGUAAAAAAUAAAAUUUCAUUUGAUGACUACGUAGAAUGCUUAACAAAUUUUAGGGAAAAGUACGCCACUCAACGAACCAUUCGUUCAUACACUCACAAUGUAUUUAGCAUCGAACAAACAAAAGUUGCCUUGAGUCCUUUAGACGAUAAACGUUAUCUUUUGCCGAAUUCAUAUGAAACGCUUCCGUGGGGACAUUAUAAAGUGCCGUAAUUAUUUUUUAAUAUAUUUUUGUUACAGAUUAUGGUCAAACAACUUACAUUAGAAAGCCUUUGUAUUAUAACAAUUUGCGAAAAUAUUAGGUGUAGUGCUGAUUUUUUGCUUGAGUCACCUUUGCCUUGGAAACUAACGAUACUAAUAUUUAAAUAUUAUUCGAAAUAUAGAUGGAAGUACCUUAAACAAUUAGCGCUCCAGUCUGAUGGCAAUUCUUUAUUAAAUUUAGAAUUCAUUCUGUUGAAUAAGAGAUUUGGAUCGUCUUACAGAAAUAGCAUUUUGGCAACUCCAACCAUUGAUUUUGACGGAGAAUCCGCUUACUGUUUAUGGGUCAGUUAUUACAGGAUAAAAUAUUCGGAAAUUUUAGUUUGUAAAUCUUGUCACUUUAUAUUUCAACUAGUUAAAAAAUUUAAAAAGAAAAAUUUUAGACUUUUAUUGGAUCACUAUCAUUUACAGCUGGAUAUAAAUAAUUUGAAUGAUGUAUAUCACGAUAAACAAUUUUGGUGUCAAAGCUGCUUUGAAGAAGUUUUGUUCACUGUAGAAACUGAAGAUGAAUGUAAUUUAAUGCUUCACGAUGAGAGGAAAUAUGGAAAAAAGUUACGCUUUUCUGAUAGUCCAUUGAACUAUUAAUACUGUGGUUUUAUUAUAACAUAUGUAACUGUAGAUAAGACUUUUAUGUAUUGAUUGUAUUCCAUUGUAUUGCAACAAGA